Molecule: ribosomal RNA, 254 nt
Filed under: uncultured bacterium
Lineage: Bacteria
Description: partial 16S ribosomal RNA
Rfam family: Bacterial small subunit ribosomal RNA
Source: RNAcentral
UACGUAGGGGGCGAGCGUUGUCCGGAUUCAUUGGGCGUAAAGAGCUCGUAGGCGGUUCAGUAAGUCAGGUGUGAAAUCUCCGCGCUCAACGCGGAGCGGCCACCUGAUACUGCUGUGACUCGAGUCCGGUAGGGGAGUGUGGAAUUCCCGGUGUAGUGGUGAAAUACGUAGAGAUUGGGAAGAACACCAGUGGCGAAGGCGGCUAUCUGGACGGUUUCUGACGCUAAGACGCGAAAGCGUGGGGAGCAAACAGG